This 262-nucleotide unclassified non-coding RNA is filed under the name Hevea brasiliensis (rubber tree). Lineage: Eukaryota; Viridiplantae; Streptophyta; Magnoliopsida; Malpighiales; Euphorbiaceae. The record is from RNAcentral.
CGGGUUUAAAUGGGUGGAUUCACUUAAUAAAAAGUAGGUGUUGCCUUACCUGGGAUUUGAACCCAGAUUCUAAGGCCAAUUUAUUGUAUUGAUUACCAUUUCUUCUAUGCAAGAUUUGUGUGCUGUUAUUCUCUUCAAAUAUAUAUUUCACAUAUGCUACACUAAUUAUAUCAGAUAAAUUAAAUUUAUAUUGAAAUAAAAUAAUUAAAAUAUAUUCACAUAUAUAAUUGCCAAAAAAGUUUAUUUAUUUUAUCAAAUUGUG